This is an unclassified non-coding RNA of Microcebus murinus (gray mouse lemur), 114 nucleotides long. It matches the Rfam family "Y RNA". Rfam says of the family: Y RNAs are components of the Ro ribonucleoprotein particle (Ro RNP), in association with Ro60 and La proteins. The Y RNAs and Ro60 and La proteins are well conserved, but the function of the Ro RNP is not known. In humans the RNA component can be one of four small RNAs -- hY1, hY3, hY4 and hY5. The record is from Ensembl. NCBI's taxonomy places the organism in Eukaryota, Metazoa, Chordata, Mammalia, Primates, Cheirogaleidae.
GGCUGGUCUGAAAGUAGUGAGUUAGCUCACGUGAUUGUUCACAAUUAGUUACAGAUUGAACUCCUUGUUCUACUACUUUCCCCCCUCCUCACUACUGCGCUUAACUAGACUUUA